Molecule: ribosomal RNA, 450 nt
Filed under: uncultured organism
Description: partial 16S ribosomal RNA
Rfam family: Bacterial small subunit ribosomal RNA
Source: RNAcentral
UACACUCCUACGGGAGGCAGCAGUGGGGAAUAUUGGACAAUGGGCGCAAGCCUGAUCCAGCCAUGCCGCGUGAGUGAUGAAGGCCCUAGGGUUGUAAAGCUCUUUCACCGGUGAAGAUAAUGACGGUAACCGGAGAAGAAGCCCCGGCUAACCUCGUGCCAGCAGCCGCGGUAAUACGAAGGGGGCUAGCGUUGUUCGGAUUUACUGGGCGUAAAGCGCACGUAGGCGGACUAUUAAGUCAGGGGUGAAAUCCCGGGGCUCAACCCCGGAACUGCCUUUGAUACUGGUAGUCUUGAGUUCGAGAAAGGUGAGUGGAAUUCCGAGUGUAGAGGUGAAAUUCGUAGAUAUUCGGAGGAACACCAGUGGCGAAGGCGGCUCACUGGCUCGAUACUGACGCUGAGGUGCGAAAGCGUGGGGAGCAAACAGGAUUAGAAACCCCAGUAGUCCCAU